RNAcentral lists this ribosomal RNA (1478 nucleotides) under uncultured prokaryote. RNAcentral describes it as "partial 16S ribosomal RNA". It matches the Rfam family "Bacterial small subunit ribosomal RNA". The record is from RNAcentral.
UAGAGUUUGAUCCUGGCUCAGAAUGAACGCUGGCGGCGUGCUUAACACAUGCAAGUCGAACGGUAACAGCAGAGCUUGCUCUGGCUGACGAGUGGCGCACGGGUGAGUAAUAGAUAGAUAAUGUACCCCUUAGCCUGGGAUAGCCACUGGAAACGGUGAUUAAUACUGGAUACGCCUUUUUAGCGUAAGCUAAUUUGGGAAAGGUCUUUCGCUAAGGGAUCAGUCUAUCUCCCAUCAGUUAGUUGGUGAGGUAAGAGCUCACCAAGACGAUGACGGGUAGCGGGUUUGAGAGGAUGAUCCGCCACACUGGAACUGAGACACGGUCCAGACUCCUACGGGAGGCAGCAGUGAGGAAUAUUGCACAAUGGGGGGAACCCUGAUGCAGCAACGCCGCGUGGAGGAUGACGCAUUUCGGUGUGUAAACUCCUUUUAUCAGAGAAGAACAUGACGGUAUCUGAUGAAUAAGCUCCGGCUAACUCCGUGCCAGCAGCCGCGGUAAUACGGAGGGAGCAAGCGUUAUUCGGAAUCACUGGGCGUAAAGGACGCGUAGGCGGGUUAGUAAGUCAGGUGUGAAAUCCUACAGCUCAACUGUAGAACUGCACUUGAAACUACUGACCUAGAGUAUGGAAGGGGCAGAUGGAAUUAGUGGUGUAGGGGUAAAAUCCGUAGAUAUCACUAGGAAUACCGAAAGCGAAGGCGAUCUGCUGGGACAUUACUGACACUGAGGCGCGAAAGCGUGGGGAGCAAACAGGAUUAGAUACCCUGGUAGUCCACGCCGUAAACGAUGAGAACUAGCCGUUGGGAAUCUUAGAAUUCUUAGUGGCGCAGCUAACGCGUUAAGUUCUCCGCCUGGGGAGUACGGCCGCAAGGCUAAAACUCAAAGGAAUUGACGGGGGCCCGCACAAGCGGUGGAGCAUGUGGUUUAAUUCGAUGCAACGCGAAGAACCUUACCUACCCUUGACAUCCUCGGAACUUGUCAGAGAUGACUUGGUGCCUUCGGGAACCGAGAGACAGGUGCUGCAUGGCUGUCGUCAGCUCGUGUCGUGAGAUGUUGGGUUAAGUCCCGUAACGAGCGCAACCCUUAUCCUUAUUUGCCAGCACGUAAUGGUGGGAACUCUAAGGAGACUGCCGGUGACAAACCGGAGGAAGGUGGGGAUGACGUCAAGUCCUCAUGGCCUUUAUGGUCUGGGCUGCACACGUCCUACAAUGGCAUGUACAAAGGGAAGCAACCUCGCGAGAGCAAGCAAAUCCCAGAAAGCAUGCCCCAGUUCGGAUUGCAGGCUGCAACUCGCCUGCAUGAAGCCGGAAUCGCUAGUAAUCGUGGAUCAGCAUGCCACGGUGAAUAUGUUCCUGAGCCUUGUACACACCGCCCGUCAAGCCACGAAAGUGGGGAGGGCUUAAAGUCGCUGAGCAAACCUUCGGGGUGCAGGCGCCUAGAGUCAACUCCGCGAUUGGGACUAAGUCGUAACAAGGUAGCC